GCCAGUGCUGCACACAGUGCGUGUUUACAUUAAAAAGCCUGCAGGGACAAACUAUAGACACCAGAACCACUUUAUUAAGCUGCAGUGGUUCUGGGGACUAUAGUGUCCCUUUAAUGUGAGGUAAGUUAGAGAUUAGUGUCACUAAUAAUAUACUAGAUUGCCUACUUACAAUCAGAUGAGUUGGUGAUGGGCUCUGGCUACAGUCUGGC
This 209-nucleotide long non-coding RNA is filed under the name Pelobates cultripes (western spadefoot toad). Lineage: Eukaryota; Metazoa; Chordata; Amphibia; Anura; Pelobatidae. The record is from RNAcentral.